CUCCGGGAGAUAGGCUGGCCAGCAUGGCGGACAUACUCACCGAAACGGAUAGUGAUAGCGGCGAAAGUACGACUGAAUCUUCAUCAAGUGAGCGUUUCGACGGAUGAUGAACAGAAUCCAGUUGAUGAACAGGUCUUGCAACUGCUGCCCCAUAUGUUCGAACCUGACUCCUCAUCAGACGACGAAAAUGAAGGGGAAGAUGGAGCCAAUGCUGAUGAUGACGAGGAAACGAGAAUGCGAUGGCGACUUGACAUCGACAGACUGUCCGAAUGGUGCACUUGUUCACAUUGCCAAGUCCUGCCUCUUGC
Thalassophryne amazonica is the source of this 308-nucleotide long non-coding RNA. RefSeq lists it as uncharacterized. The transcript has 2 exons. Lineage: Eukaryota; Metazoa; Chordata; Actinopteri; Batrachoidiformes; Batrachoididae. The record is from RefSeq and is a predicted model, not a curated record.